UUAAGUCAGGCAACGAGCGAGACCCACGCCCACAGUUGCCAGCGUACUCUCUGGAGUGACGGGUACACUGUGGGGACCGCCGCUGCUAAAGCGGAGGAAGGAAUGGGCAACGGUAGGUCAGUAUGCCCCGAAUAUCCCGGGCUACACGCGAGCUACAAUGGUUGGUACAAUGGGUAUCUACCCGAAAGGGGACGGGAAUCUCCUAAAACCAAUCUUAGUUCGGAUUGAGGGCUGCAACUCGCCCUCAUGAAGCUGGAAUCCGUAGUAAUCGCGUUUCAACAGAACGCGGUGAAUACGUCCCUGCUCCUU
Molecule: ribosomal RNA, 309 nt
Filed under: uncultured Methanosaeta sp.
Lineage: Archaea; Methanobacteriati; Methanobacteriota; Methanomicrobia; Methanotrichales; Methanotrichaceae
Description: bacterial SSU rRNA
Rfam family: Archaeal small subunit ribosomal RNA
Source: RNAcentral